RNAcentral lists this ribosomal RNA (400 nucleotides) under uncultured bacterium. RNAcentral's name for it is "bacterial SSU rRNA". It matches the Rfam family "Bacterial small subunit ribosomal RNA", at positions 355 to 772 of the family's 1533-position model. The record is from RNAcentral.
UUAGGAAUAUUGGACAAUGGGCGCAAGCCUGAUCCAGCCAUGCCGCGUGAGUGAUGAAGGCCUUCGGGUUGUAAAGCUCUUUAGUCCACGAAUAUAAUGACUGUAGUGGAAGAAUAAGCCCCGGCUAACUUCGUGCCAGCAGCCGCGGUAAUACGAGGGGGGCGAGCGUUGUUCGGAAUCACUGGGCGUAAAGCGUGCGUAGGCUGUCGCAAAAGUUAGGAGUGAAAGCCCCAGGCUCAACUUGGGAAUUGCUCUUAAUACUGUGCGACUAGAAUAUCGGAGAGGAGAGCGGAAUUGUCAGUGUAGCAGUGAAAUGCGUAGAUAUUGACAGGAACACCAGUGGCGUAAGCGGCUCUCUGGACGAUUAUUGACGCUGAGGUACGAAAGCGUGGGGAUCAAA